GAUGAACGCUGGCGGCGUGCCUAAUACAUGCAAGUCGAGCGAACAGAUAAGGAUCUUGCUCCUUUGACGUUAGCGGCGGACGGGUGAGUAACACGUGGAUAACCUACCUAUAAGACUGGUAUAACUUCGGGAAACCGGAGCUAAUACCGGAUAACAUAUUGAACCGCAUGGUUCAAUAGUGAAAGGCGGCUUUGCUGUCACUUAUAGAUGGAUCCGCGCCGUAUUAGCUAGUUGGUAAGGUAACGGCUUACCAAGGCAACGAUACGUAGCCGACCUGAGAGGGGGGUCGGCCACACUGGAGCUGGGACAGGGACAAGAGUCCUACGGGAGGCAGCAGUAGGGAAUCUUCCGCAGUGGGCGAAAGCCUGGCGGAGCAACGCGGAGUGAGUGAUGGAGGUCUUCGGAUCGUAAAACUCUGUUAUCAGGGAAGAGCAAAUGUGUAAGUAACUGUGCACAUAUUGACGGUACCUGAUCAGAAAGCCACGGCUAACUACGUG
Molecule: ribosomal RNA, 497 nt
Filed under: uncultured bacterium
Lineage: Bacteria
Description: partial 16S ribosomal RNA
Rfam family: Bacterial small subunit ribosomal RNA
Source: RNAcentral